Molecule: small RNA, 778 nt
Filed under: Pan troglodytes (chimpanzee)
Lineage: Eukaryota; Metazoa; Chordata; Mammalia; Primates; Hominidae
Description: retained intron
Source: RNAcentral
GCUCACUUGUGCAUUUUUGGCCUGCAAAGUAGAUGAAUUCAAUGUAUCUAGUCCUCAGUUUGUUGGAAACCUUCGGGAGAGUCCUCUUGGACAGGAGAAGGCACUUGAACAGAUACUGGAAUAUGAACUACUUCUUAUACAGCAACUUAAUUUCCACCUUAUUGUCCACAAUCCUUACAGACCAUUUGAGGGCUUCCUCAUCGACUUAAAGACCCGCUAUCCCAUAUUGGAGAAUCCAGAGAUUUUGAGGAAAACAGCUGAUGACUUUCUUAAUAGAAUUGCAUUGACGGAUGCUUACCUUUUAUACACACCUUCCCAAAUUGCCCUGACUGCCAUUUUAUCUAGUGCCUCCAGGGCUGGAAUUACUAUGGAAAGUUAUUUAUCAGAGAGUCUGAUGCUGAAAGAGAACAGAACUUGCCUGUCACAGUUACUAGAUAUAAUGAAAAGCAUGAGAAACUUAGUAAAAAAGUAUGAACCACCCAGAUCUGAAGAAGUUGCUGUUCUGAAACAGAAGUUGGAGCGAUGUCAUUCUGCUGAGCUUGCACUUAACGUAAUCACGAAGAAGAGGAAAGGCUAUGAAGAUGAUGAUUACGUCUCAAAGAAAUCCAAACAUGAGGAGGAAGAAUGGACUGAUGACGACCUGGUAGAAUCUCUCUAACCAUUUGAAGUUGAUUUCUCAAUGCUAACUAAUCAAGAGAAGUAGGAAGCAUAUCAAACGUUUAACUUUAUUUAAAAAGUAUAAUGUGAAAACAUAAAAUAUAUUAAAACUUUUCUAUUG